RNAcentral lists this microRNA (22 nucleotides) under Homo sapiens (human). RNAcentral describes it as "hsa-miR-4708-3p". Lineage: Eukaryota; Metazoa; Chordata; Mammalia; Primates; Hominidae. The record is from miRBase by way of RNAcentral.
AGCAAGGCGGCAUCUCUCUGAU